Molecule: ribosomal RNA, 140 nt
Filed under: uncultured bacterium
Lineage: Bacteria
Description: partial 16S ribosomal RNA
Rfam family: Bacterial small subunit ribosomal RNA
Source: RNAcentral
CGGGAGGCAGCAGUGAGGAAUAUUGCACAAUGGGGGGAACCCUGAUGCAGCAACGCCGCGUGGAGGAUGACGCAUUUCGGUGUGUAAACUCCUUUUAUAUGUCAAGAAAAUGACGGUAGCAUAUGAAUAAGCACCGGCUA